ACGCACGCUGGCGGCGUGCUUAACCCCUGCCAGUCGCACCGAAAGGCCCUGCUUUUGUGGGGUGCUCGAGUGGCGAACGGGUGAGUAACACGUGCGUAACCUGCCCUUGACUUUGGGAUAACUUCAGGAAACUGGGGCUAAUACCGGAUAGGAGCUCCUGCUGCAUGGUGGGGGUUGGAAAGUUUCGGCGGUUGGGGAUGGACUCGCGGCUUAUCAGCUUGUUGGUGGGGUAGUGGCUUACCAAGGCUUUGACGGGUAGCCGGCCUGAGAGGGUGACCGGCGACAUUGGGACUGAGAGACGGCCCAGACUCCUACGGGAGGCAGCAGUGGAGAAUAUUGCACAAUGGGCGGAAGCCUGAUGCAGCAACGCCGCGUGCGGGAUGACGGCCUUCGGGUUGUAAACCGCUUGCGCCUGUGACGAAGCGUGAGUGACGGUAAUGGGUAAAGAAGCACCGGCUAACUACGUG
RNAcentral lists this ribosomal RNA (467 nucleotides) under uncultured bacterium. Its description in RNAcentral is "partial 16S ribosomal RNA". It matches the Rfam family "Bacterial small subunit ribosomal RNA", at positions 29 to 507 of the family's 1533-position model. The record is from RNAcentral.